This 1161-nucleotide ribosomal RNA is filed under the name Triticum aestivum (bread wheat). RNAcentral describes it as "partial small subunit ribosomal RNA". The record is from RNAcentral. Lineage: Eukaryota; Viridiplantae; Streptophyta; Magnoliopsida; Poales; Poaceae.
AUGAGCCGCCGCCGUUGCUCGCCGGCGACGGCACCCCCACUGGAAGACGAGGACAUCCUGCAGGAGAUCCUCCUGCGCCUUCCUCCUCAGCCAUCCUCCCUCCCACGUGCGUCCGCCGUAUGCAAGCGCUGGCGCAGCAUCCUCUCUGACCCCCAAUUCGUCCAACGCUUCCGCAAACACCACGGGAAACCCCCGCUAAUCGGCUUCUUCAACCAAAGUUAUACCGUAGUCUGCGACUUCAAUCCCAUCCUGGAAGCGCCUAACCGCGUCCAUGCCAAUCGUCUCUCGGUGCCAAAGAGACAAAGCUCCAUGGGGAAGUGGCGUUUCAUGGGCUGCCGCAACGGCCUUGCCGUCCUGGUCAACGGGGGUCGGCGUGAGGCCGUCGUGUGGGAUCCUCUCACUGGCCAGCAACAUCAUGUGCCUUUUCCACCGGGGCUUCACGACGUUCCAACGAGUAGUUUCUAUGCCUGGCAUGCCGCAGUGCUUUGUGCUAAUGCCGAAGAUGGGCACGUGCACGGAGAUUGCAUCAGGGGGCCGUUCAAAUUGGUCUUGAUCUGCAACAGAUACGAGCAGGCAUUCGCUUCUCUCUAUGACUCCACAUCUCGUGCUUGGGGAGAUAUUUUCUCGACGGCGAUAGAAAAUACAAUUCAUUGGACAAGGUGCAGCAUCCUUGUUGGAAAUGUGCUUUGCUGGGCGAUUUGUGGAGGUGAUGCCCUUGUGUUUGACACUGAAAUGCAGAGUCUUGCUGUGAUUGAGAAGCCGGCAGACAAGAACGCUAUCAGUGACUGGUCUUUUCAGCUCUUACGGAUGGAGGAUGGUGGACUAGGCCUCGCUGCUUUGUCGGGACUGACCGUCCAAUUAUGGGAAAGGAAACUUAACUGUGACGGUGUUGUCGGAUGGGUGUUGCUGCAGAAAACCAUUCCUUUGGAGGGGUUGCUUCCAAGCACAAAGCCUUUGGUAUUUAUCGUGGGGUAUGAUGAGGACACAAAUGCGAUUGUUCUGUCUACGGGGAUUGGCAACUUCAUGAUCGAACUUGACUCAAUGCAGAUCAAACAUAUCAUUAAAAGAAAUGCCAUGUGUAUCGACAUGUUUUAUCCCUACCAUAAUUUCUACACUGCAGGCAGGGGAGUUGGGUGGAAAUGGGUGGAACUGGAACUUUGA